UACUUGAUAAACAAUAUAAUCAUUGUGUUUGUUAGAAGAAAAUCACGAAUUGUGAAAUGCGUGUUUAAAAGCAGUUAUUUCGUUAUUUUCUCUCAGAUAAGUAUUUUUAAAAACUUCCUUCGUGCACGACAGAAAGAACCGUUAAUUUGUAACAUUUAUUUGAAAACACUUAUUUCUUUUAUUUCGUUAAAAUUUUGAGCACCAAAAGUAGACAGAAUGGUAGAUCCAAUUGUAGAUUUUUCAGAGAAAAUCAAGACCCAAAGAUGGUUGGAUUAUUAUCUUCCAAAGAGAUAUAUUUUUGUUUUUCUCGCACUUGUGGGUACUAUUUGUAUGUACGCUAUUAGAGCCAGUAUCAGCGUGACCAUUGUCGCGAUGGUCAAGCAGACAGUGGUAUUACC
Molecule: non-coding RNA, 398 nt
Organism: Parasteatoda tepidariorum (common house spider)
Lineage: Eukaryota; Metazoa; Arthropoda; Arachnida; Araneae; Theridiidae
Source: RefSeq, a predicted model, not a curated record